Molecule: ribosomal RNA, 320 nt
Filed under: uncultured eukaryote
Lineage: Eukaryota
Description: partial 18S ribosomal RNA
Rfam family: Eukaryotic small subunit ribosomal RNA
Source: RNAcentral
CCCUUAGAUGUUCUGGGCCGCACGCGCGCUACACUGAACAGUUCAACAAGUCUUAACCUUGGCCGAUAGGUCUGGGUAAUCUUUGAACGCUGUUCGUGAUUGGGAUAGACCUUUGCAAUUAUGGGUCUUCAACAAGGAAUUCCUAGUAAACGCAAGUCAUCAGCUUGCAUUGAUUACGUCCCUGCCCUUUGUACACACCGCCCGUCGCACCUACCGAUUGAAUGGUCCGGUGAAAUCUCGGGACGGCGGCUUGGUCGCUUGCGUCCGACUGCUGAAACUUGAUUAAACCAUAUCAUUUAGAGGAAGGUGAAGUCGUAACA